CAGUAGCCACGGUAAAACGGAGGGUGCAAGCGUUAUCCGGAUUUAUUGGGUUUAAAGGGUCCGUAGGCGGACUUAUAAGUCAGUGGUGAAAGCCUGUCGCUUAACGAUAGAACUGCCAUUGAUACUGUAAGUCUUGAGUAUAUUUGAGGUAGCUGGAAUAAGUAGUGUAGCGGUGAAAUGCAUAGAUAUUACUUAGAACACCAAUUGCGAAGGCAGGUUACCAAGAUAUAACUGACGCUGAGGGACGAAAGCGUGGGUAGCGAACAGGAUUAGAUACCCCGGUAGUCCCUGUCUCUUAUAC
RNAcentral lists this ribosomal RNA (301 nucleotides) under uncultured bacterium. RNAcentral describes it as "partial 16S ribosomal RNA". It matches the Rfam family "Bacterial small subunit ribosomal RNA", at positions 509 to 807 of the family's 1533-position model. The record is from RNAcentral.